AUGCCGAGGCACCCUGACAGGUCACAGGUACGCGGGAGCGGAAGCUGCAGCCCAGAAACCGGAGGGUGCCAGUCGCACCCAUCCUUCAGGCCUCCUUCCCUCCCGGCCCCAGGAGCGCAGGCUCGGAGCUCGGCUCCCGCCCGCCGCUCGCCUUUGUCGCCGGCUCGGUGCGCGGCCGCGGGCUCCCGCGGCGGGCUUUGUUCGGGAGGAGCAGGCCAGGACCCCUCGCGCCGCCGCGUCCCCGCCCUCCCCGCGCCGAGGACGGUGGGGGUGGGGACUGCGCGACCGGGACCUGGACCCAAGGAGCGUCCGAGCGCGCCUCGGAGCCGGGAACUCGCUCCUUCGCCCCUUUUCGUAAUUGAGCUGUUGUCCGCUCGGCUAGGGGGCCGGGCUGAGCAGAAGGAGGGCGAGGGGGGUGCGCGUCCUCAGCCUGCAGCCCCGGCUGGGCGCGGCUCCCCGGGCGCCCGUGGACUCGUGCUGCCGCGUGCGCGCGUGCCAGGCUGGAUGGACGCACGCGCGCAUGGACGAGGCGGGCCGUCGGACUGGGUCCCAGGUCCUAGGCUGCUCUGGCCGAGGUUUUCGCAGCUGCAGUGUCUUUCAAAUCUUAAUCAGAGAACUUCAUUGUGAUCACAUUAUUCAGCACUUGAUGGAUGAAGGUGAAGACUCAGAGAAGAAUCCCGCCAUUCAAGGACAGACGCCGCUUGUCCUCUCUGCCAGGGACGGCAGUGGAGAACGAAAUGCCUGGAUAUGUGCGCUCACCGAGUGUGCUGAAAAUGUAGCUUCGGACCAGAAGAGCCAAAGAGACGAGACUUUUCACUAAGUGAUACUUUUGAUGCAAUCGAAGGAUUGGCAAACUGACUUGUUGCCCAUUUUUACAAAUAAAGUUUUAUUGGCACAGAGUCAUGCCCACCUUUAGUGUAUUGUCUCUGCUUGGUUAUCACAGCAAGUGCCAAGAUAGGGACCACAUGGUCUGCCAAGCUUAGAAC
RNAcentral lists this long non-coding RNA (986 nucleotides) under Chinchilla lanigera (long-tailed chinchilla). RNAcentral describes it as "lncRNA (ENSCLAG00000025930.1)". Lineage: Eukaryota; Metazoa; Chordata; Mammalia; Rodentia; Chinchillidae. The record is from RNAcentral.